RNAcentral lists this ribosomal RNA (468 nucleotides) under uncultured bacterium. Its description in RNAcentral is "partial 16S ribosomal RNA". It matches the Rfam family "Bacterial small subunit ribosomal RNA", at positions 28 to 507 of the family's 1533-position model. The record is from RNAcentral.
GACGAACGCUGGCGGCGUGCUUAACACAUGCAAGUCGAACGGAAAGGCCCUGCUUUUGUGGGGUGCUCGAGUGGCGAACGGGUGCGUAACACGUGAGUAUCCUGCCCUUGACUUUGGGAUAACUUCAGGAAACUGGGGCUACUCCCAGAUAGGAGCCCCUGCUGCAUUGUGGGGGUUGGAACGUUUCGGCGGUUGGGGAUGGACUCGCGGCUUAGCAGCUAGUUGGUGGGGUAGUGGCUGACCAAGGCAUUGACGGGUAGCCGGCCUGAGAGGGUGACCGGCCACAUUGGGACUGAGAUACGGCCCAGACUCCUACGGGAGGCAGCAGUGGGGAAUAUUGCACAAUGGGCCGAAGCCUGAUGCAGCAACGCCGCGUGCGGGAUGACGGCCUUCGGGUUGUAAACCGCUUUCGCCUGUGACGAAGCGUGAGUGACGGUAAUGGGUAAAUAAGCACCGGCUAACUACGUG